This 691-nucleotide ribosomal RNA is filed under the name uncultured bacterium. Its description in RNAcentral is "bacterial SSU rRNA". It matches the Rfam family "Bacterial small subunit ribosomal RNA", at positions 90 to 777 of the family's 1533-position model. The record is from RNAcentral.
GGCGAGUGGCGAACGGGUGAGUAAUACAUCGGAACGUGCCCAAUCGUGGGGGAUAACGCAGCGAAAGCUGUGCUAAUACCGCAUACGAUCUACGGAUGAAAGCAGGGGAUCGCAAGACCUUGCGCGAANNNNNCGGCCGAUGGCAGAUUAGGUAGUUGGUGAGGUAAAGGCUCACCAAGCCUUCGAUCUGUAGCUGGUCUGAGAGGACGACCAGCCACACUGGGACUGAGACACGGCCCAGACCCCUACGGGAGGCAGCAGUGGGGAAUUUUGGACAAUGGGCGCAAGCCUGAUCCAGCCAUGCCGCGUGCAGGAUGAAGGCCUUCGGGUUGUAAACUGCUUUUGUACGGAACGAAACGGCUCUUUCUAAUAAAGAGGGCUAAUGACGGUACCGUAAGAAUAAGCACCGGCUAACUACGUGCCAGCAGCCGCGGUAAUACGUAGGGUGCAAGCGUUAAUCGGAAUUACUGGGCGUAAAGCGUGCGCAGGCGGUGAUGUAAGACAGUUGUGAAAUCCCCGGGCUCAACCUGGGAACUGCAUCUGUGACUGCAUCGCUGGAGUACGGCAGAGGGGGAUGGAAUUCCGCGUGUAGCAGUGAAAUGCGUAGAUAUGCGGAGGAACACCGAUGGCGAAGGCAAUCCCCUGGGCCUGUACUGACGCUCAUGCACGAAAGCGUGGGGAGCAAACAGGA